GAUGAACGCUGGCGGCGUGCCUAAUACAUGCAAGUCGAGCGAACAGACGAGGAGCUUGCUCCUCUGACGUUAGCGGCGGACGGGUGAGUAACACGUGGAUAACCUACCUAUAAGACUGGGAUAACUUCGGGAAACCGGAGCUAAUACCGGAUAAUAUAUUGAACCGCAUGGUUCAAUAGUGAAAGACGGUUUUGCUGUCACUUAUAGAUGGAUCCGCGCCGCAUUAGCUAGUUGGUAAGGUAACGGCUUACCAAGGCGACGAAGCGUAGCCGACCUGAGAGGGUGAUCGGCCACACUGGAACUGAGACACGGUCCAGACUCCUACGGGAGGCAGCAGUAGGGAAUCUUCCGCAAAGGGCGAAAGCCUGACGGAGCAACGCCGCGUGAGUGAUGAAGGUCUUCGGAUCGUAAAACUCUGUUAUUAGGGAAGAACAAAUGUGUAAGUAACUAUGCACGUCUUGACGGUACCUAAUCAGAAAGCCACGGCUAACUACGUG
Molecule: ribosomal RNA, 497 nt
Filed under: uncultured bacterium
Lineage: Bacteria
Description: partial 16S ribosomal RNA
Rfam family: Bacterial small subunit ribosomal RNA
Source: RNAcentral